Molecule: long non-coding RNA, 934 nt
Filed under: Nicotiana benthamiana
Lineage: Eukaryota; Viridiplantae; Streptophyta; Magnoliopsida; Solanales; Solanaceae
Description: long non-coding RNA (NBEN_LNC004315)
Source: RNAcentral
CAUGAAUCUGUCUCAAAAACAGAUGGUCAGUCUUCUGUGAUACCUGGGUUGAGCAGUCAGCAUUAUGAUCAACUGAUGAAUCUUUUACAACAAACCCAGCUAGGGGGUUCCAAUGCUCCAAACUCUUCUCCCAUGUGUGCUAUCAAUUUUGCUGGUACUAUGCUAACUGAGAGCCUAGUUUCUGAUUCCAAAGUUUGCAUGCUUACUAGUAUUAAUUAUGUGUCUUGGAUAAUAGAUUCUAGUGCAUCUAAUCAUAUGACCUAUAACCAACAACUACUUUUUAACCUUACACCUUUAUCUGUUCCUUAUCUUGUGAGCCUUCCUAAUGGUUACAAAGUAAAAGCCUUACACCUUUAUCUGUUCCUUAUCUUGUGACCCUUCCUAAUGGUUACAAAGUAAAAGUAACUUGCAUUGGCUCCUUUCAAUUGACUUCUUCUAUUGUUCUUCAUAAUGUACUGUUAAUUCCUUCUUUUACACACAACUUAAUUUCUGUCCAUAAGUUGGUGAAGGAAUUACAUUGUAUAGUCCUGUUCUCUGAACAUUCAUGUUUCCUCCAAAUGUUACAAGGCCCUUCUCUGAAGAAGCCACUGGAUCUUGGUAACCAAACUGAUGGUUGUAUAAGCUGACAUGGGUCCCUCCUUCACCUUCCCUCUCUUCAACAAAUUCUGUUUGUUCUGCUUCUACUUCUUGUGAUACUAGCAAGUUUACUGUUUUGUCUUCUAUGCCUAUUAUUUGUAAUGAUACAAUUCUGUCUGAUAAUAAAACUGUUUCAUCUUCCUUACAUGUAACCAGUCUCAAUUGUAAUAAUGAUUUGAAUUCUGAUAUGAAUUACAUUUGGCACUUGCGACUUGGUCAUAUUCCUUUUGCACAUAUGAAAUGUAUUUCUGGUUUAUCUUUCCCUUUUGCUUCUAAACAACCUUUCCCCUGUUCUNNN